AUACGUAGGAUGCGAGCGUUGUCCGGAUUUAUUGGGCGUAAAGAGCGCGCAGGCGGUUAGGAAAGAUGGGUGUGAAAGACCCUGGCUUAACUAGGGGAGGUCACUCAAGACUAUCUAACUUGAGGGCAGCAGAGGAAAGUGGAAUUCCCGGUGUAGUGGUGAAAUGCGUAGAUAUCGGGAGGAACACCAGUGGCGAAGGCGGCUUUCUGGGCUGUCACUGACGCUGAGGCGCGAAAGCGUGGGUAGCGAACCGAAUUAGAUACUCGGGUAGUCCACGCCGUAAACGAUGGACACUAGGUGUAGGGGGUAUCGACCCCCCCUGUGCCGAAGCUAACGCAUUAAGUGUCCCGCCUGGGGAGUACGGCCGCAAGGCUAAA
RNAcentral lists this ribosomal RNA (377 nucleotides) under uncultured bacterium. Its description in RNAcentral is "bacterial SSU rRNA". It matches the Rfam family "Bacterial small subunit ribosomal RNA", at positions 523 to 898 of the family's 1533-position model. The record is from RNAcentral.